AUUGAACGCUGGCGGCAGGCCUAACACAUGCAAUUCGAGCGGAGCGGCGGACGGAUGAGUAAUGACUAGGAAUCUGCCUGGUAGUGGGGGGUAACGUCCGGAAACGGGCGCUACUCCCGCAUACUAUCAGAUGAGCCUAGGUCGGAGUAAGUAAUUGGUGGGGUAAAGGACUACCAAGGCGACGAUCCGUAACUGUGCUGAGAGGAUGAUCAGUCACACGGGAAAUGAGAACCGGUCCAGACUCCUACGGGAGGCAGCAGUGGGGAAUAUUGGACAAUGGCGAAAGCCUGAUCCAGCCAUGCCGCGUGUGUGAAGAAGGUCUUCGGAUUGUAAAGCACUUUAAGUUGGGAGGCGUUACCAACAGAAUAAGCACCGGCUAACUUCGUGCCAGCAGCCGCGGUAAUAC
This 406-nucleotide ribosomal RNA is filed under the name uncultured bacterium. Its description in RNAcentral is "partial 16S ribosomal RNA". It matches the Rfam family "Bacterial small subunit ribosomal RNA", at positions 30 to 526 of the family's 1533-position model. The record is from RNAcentral.